Oxyura jamaicensis (ruddy duck) is the source of this 2223-nucleotide RNA transcript. It is a transcript of the gene named small integral membrane protein 5, with no coding region annotated. NCBI's taxonomy places the organism in Eukaryota, Metazoa, Chordata, Aves, Anseriformes, Anatidae. The record is from RefSeq and is a predicted model, not a curated record. The transcript is spliced from 6 exons.
AGCAGAGAGGAGCCGAGCGAGGAGCGAGACACGAGCCAGGAUGAGGGGAGAGAUGACGUGAAAGUUGAAGAAGAGAGGAGGAAAAACAAGAGGAGGAGAAGAGCUCGUGGCACGGCUGGGAAGUGAUGUGUUCAUCACCUUUUUGCUAUGCACAAGAAAUCCCAAAGCUGCGACACCCUUGGAACCAGCAUGCACUCAGAAGCGCAGUCAAGUAGAAAAACAUUUGCUUCCACACAGAGACUGCAUCCGACUUCAAACUUUGUCCCCGAAGUUCAACCUAAGAGCCAAGAGCAGCAAACACAAAUCACAUCACCUCUGCCUGCACCGCCAUCUCUUGGAAUGGAAACAGCACUGGAAACCUGCUGACAGAAUCUCACUGCACUGUGCAAAGGGAAAAGGAGCCACUUCUGGAGCAGCUCAUUUGGGCAUAAAGCCUGGAGAGGUUGAGCCAGAAUGUCUUCUGAAGGCUUUCUGAAGGAAAUGCAAACCAUUGGUGAGAAGUUUCUUCUUAAGCUUCAGAAACUGCCCAAGGCUGACCCUGUGGAGAUCGUGUCCUUCUGUGUGGUGCUUCUGUUUAUCGUUACUGUUCUGCUGCUCAUGAUCAUUGCUUGCAGCUGCUGCUGCUACAGCUGCUGUAGCUGCGAUGGACGUCCUGACCACAGACGUAGGAAGAUCCAAGUCCGCCCGACUGCCCACCCAUGAAGCGCUUCAAGAGGUGACAACCUACUAUCAAGGACAUGCAUGGCCAUCAUGAUUCAGUCCCACGGGAAUGACUCUCUGCUCUAGCUCACUGAAAAUGGCAAUAACAAUAUUAAUGAGUUUGACUCAGAGGACCAGAAAUCACGGCAUGGAAUUCAUUCUUUCUGUGACAGCUACUGCUGGGCUCCGUGGUGUGACCAGAAAGCAGGGCAGAAGCCAGCAUGUCAUCUGCACAAGAGACAUCCUCAGUUCUGGAAGACCUAAAAAGACGGAUUGUAACAAGUGACUGGGCUCUUGGAGGGCUAGUGGUGAUUAGCACCUUCUGUCUUGUUUUGAUUGCUCUCCUGUUAUUUGCUGCCAUCUUUGGGUGCUGCUCAUCUCCAAGGCACAAGCGGAGUGGUGCAUAGACAGUGAAGCUGUGACACAGUACUGGGAGAUCCGCAGUUAAGCAAGAAUCAGCCCAGCUGCAAUCUAACUGUGUUGUUCGUAGAAGCUUUUUCAUCUUCUGUCCCUGGGUUGUUAUUUCUCCCCAUCCAGCCUUCCCGCGUUGAGAGCAAUAUAUGAAUGCCAGCAAAUUGUUCUGCAAGUCCACAGCAAACUCUGUAUGUAAGGCAGCCUGUGUUCAGGAACUGAAUGAUGAUGCUGGCAUUUGGCUUGUCUCUGCCUGAUUUUCAUCUUUCAAACAAAAUCACAGACAGGAUGGAGUUGGCAAACGGUCAACCACCGCCUAAAACUGAUAAAGAUGUCUUGUACCAGUGCAGUUACUUUUUUUGUUUAGCUGGUCUUGUUUUUUUCCAUCUUGCAAAUGGAGAUCAGGGAACUCUGACCAGCAAAAGCUUUGUCUGAAUCCAUUCUCUAAAAAGCAGCUUAUGUAAUUGUUCUCCUGUCAUACUCAGACAGUAGCCUAAAUAUACUAUGCAAAAACUUGCUUAUCGGAAUACAAGUCUGUCUGUAUUUGUUCUCAUUUAGAACCUUGUAAGGUCAGAAUUUCAGGUUUAUUUUUACUGUUUGAAUAGCAAAUAGAACUGUAUUAAUUCAAAAUGUAAAAAAGAAAUGCAAUGCAGUAUUCUUCUGAAGAGCACCUUAGUCUCCUGCACAGUUGCAAGCGGGGAAGCCAGUCAAUGGUGCUGCAAUGUGGGACCUUGGGUUGUGCAUCUUAUGUGUGUAUGUAUUAAGCUGGGGAAGGGAAGAAUAAAGAUGGGAGAUGUGAUUUCUCAUUAGGUCAGUGGGCUUCCCUUACAAAUCUCUCAUGCAGCCAGUGAAGUUCUAUUUCUAUUGCUAUUCACCUCAGCAAAGGAGAAUGUUUUCUCUCUAUCGCGUGGAUAUUGCCUCACUACUGCAGCAGAACUCUUCAGAGAAGUUCCUCACUUAAAAAGCAGUCAAGUUCUUUACAGCAUACAUGAAGUGGGUGAUGCUGUAAUAUGGUGACGUGGAUCCUACCUCACGCCCUGACUAGGAGACCACGCUGGAAUGUUCUGCGACUGCUUUUGGCUUGUGCAAGGUUAGUUCAGUGAGUCCAGUACA